This 366-nucleotide ribosomal RNA is filed under the name uncultured eukaryote. RNAcentral's name for it is "partial 18S ribosomal RNA". It matches the Rfam family "Eukaryotic small subunit ribosomal RNA", at positions 592 to 976 of the family's 1831-position model. The record is from RNAcentral.
CAAUAGCGUAUAUUAACGUUGUUGCAGUUAAAAAGCUCGUAGUUGGAUUUCUGGAGGGAGCGUCGGCCCGUAUUUACGAGUGCGUGACGUCUCUGUCCAUCCUUGCGGGAAGGCACGGCAUUGAUUUGUUGUGUCGGAUCGCAUCAUUUACUGUGAAAAAAUUAGAGUGUUCAAAGCAGGCUUUCGCUUGAAUACAUUAGCAUGGAAUAAUAAGAUAGGACUUUGGUGCUAUUUUGUUGGUUGAGCCUAAAGUAAUGAUUAAUAGGGAUAGUUGGGGGCACCUGUAUUGCGUUGUCAGAGGUGAAAUUCUUGGAUUUACGCAAGACAAACAGCUGCGAAANGGNNNGCGAAGGAUGUUUUCAUNAA